Molecule: RNA transcript, 3753 nt
Organism: Triticum aestivum (bread wheat)
Lineage: Eukaryota; Viridiplantae; Streptophyta; Magnoliopsida; Poales; Poaceae
Exons: 3
Source: RefSeq, a predicted model, not a curated record
CGUCGGACCCGGCACAGAGGAGACGAGAACCCAAGCAGACCGACCGACCGACCCCCGCACCCCACCGGCAGUAGCACGCGCCACCGUCCCUCCCCACCAUCCCCGAUCCACCCCGCGGCGAUCGAUGGCGCUCCCGUCGGGCGGCGGCUCCACGGCGCGUCUGCUCACCGUGCCGGCGCUGCUCCUCCUGCUCUCCUGCGCCGCGCUCCUCGUCUUCCUCCUCCUCCCGUCCCCCUCCGCCUCCUCCGGGGCCCACCUCUGCGCCUGCUCCGACCCCGUCACCACCCACACCACCACCAGCGUCACCACCACCACCACCACCGCCGCCCCGGCCCCCAUCGCCACCUCCCCCGACGACGUCGCCUGGCUCAAGGCGCAGCUCGCCUCCAACUCCCUCGCCCUCCUCGCCUCCGCCGACGCCUGGCACGAGCUCCGCAAGGGCAUCAACCCCCGCACCCGCGAGCGCCAGCUCUUCGACCUCAACAGGCACCAUGGGAUCUCUCAUUAUCCGGAAGAAGAGGCGACCAACCACACUGCGCUGCCUUGCCCCGGGGAGCUCCUCGUCGAGGAGCACCACAGUAACUAUGGCGAGCCAUGGGCCGGUGGCCGGGAUGUGUUUGAGUUCCUGGCCAACGCCUCCGCCCUCGCGCCCAGAGAUCAGGUCCUUGAAAUUGGGUGCGGGACGCUCCGUGUCGGUCUGCAUUUCAUCCGGUUCCUCGAUGCUGGGAGAUUCCAUUGCCUGGAGCAGGAUGAGCUGUCCCUCAUGGCUGCGCUUCGGUACGAACUGCCGUCGCAGGGGCUGUUGUACAAGCGACCGAUGAUUGUGAGAGGGGGGGAUAUGGAUUUCAGCAAGUUUGGGGAUACUGUUAUGUAUGACCUUAUUUAUGCUAGCGCCGCGUUCCUCCACAUUCAUGAUGAUCUUGUUUGGACUGGCCUUGAGAGGCUUGCAGGAAAGCUGAGGCCACAGACAGGCAGGAUUUUUGUGUCACAUAACAUUAAGUUUUGCUCAAGAAAGGGUGGUGAUGUGUGCACACGUAUGCUUACGGAUUUGGGUCUGGAAUAUGUUGGGAAGCGCACUCAUGACAGCUUGUUGUUUAACCAUUACGAGAUAUGGUUUGAAUUUCGGAGGCCAAAAAUUUAGAUCUUAAUGGCGCAGGAAGAUAGACAAGUUGGUUUCUGUUUUGCAAUUUUGGAUGUGUGAAGCAAAAAAGCAUGCCAUGCUCUGCACGGUAAUGAGUUUUGGCUUUGGACUGAAACCAGUGUUCGGCCGGCUCUGAGUUGAAGCAUGUGAACAAAGUUCAUGGUGGGAAGGUACCAUUGUGCUGAAGUCCCAUUACAUUUUGUUGCAAUUUUGGAUGUGUGAAGAAAAAAUCAAACCAUGCCCUGUACACAAAUGAGUUUUGACUUUGGAAUGGGAUCAAUGUUUACUCAGCUCUGAGUUGAAGAAUGUGCACAAAGUUGAUGACGGGAAGGUACCAUUUUGCUGGAGUCCCAUUACAUUUUUAUGACUGGUUGUUGAAGCCUUUAGCUUUUGUUACCACCAAAUCGGCUGUACUGUAUAAUCUUAGUAAUGUCUGGAGAAAAAAUCGGUGGUUGAGGUCAAACAGAUAUGCUAUACAUUUUGUAGCCCAACAGCUUCCUACAACGGUCAAGCGGCAAUUACCACGUAAGAUCUGUGGCAAGGGUAACUCUGUAUUUAGUGAAAGGCCUGCCGAUGAGUUCUGAAACACACUUUGUUAUGCUAUAGUAGGAGUAUCUGGUAAAUAGUUUGAUGCCUAUGCAUCUAUAUUUAUUAUUCAUUCAUUAUCUACCUUGGCAGUGGUACUAUCUCUUUUACGUGGGGACUAAAAGUGAACAUAUCUGAUUUUCAGCUUUGCUUCCUGCCUUGUCAAAAUUAGGAUUGUAUCACCUUUCUGUCAUUUAUAUCUGUGCACCUGCUUGCCAUAAGAACACUCGUAUCUAUGCAGUUGCAUUACAUUUUGUCUUAGUUGUUAGUGCUGGUGACCACUCAUCUUCAUCAGUACUUCUGAUUUGUUUAUGAUGAUGUGGAGCGAAGCCCAAUUAUUCUUCAAUUCUUAUUUUUAUUGCACAUUAUUUUUUUAAUCAGCAUGAUCUUAUUCUGUAUGUUAUGAUGUUAUCCACAUCCUGCUUUCCAUGUUUUCUCAUGUAGAAUUUCCUGUGUGAUUUCAUAAAUGGCAUGCCAGUCUAUAAGUAUAAUGACAGUGUUUGGUGACUGGUUACAAUGUUUUUUCUGUUCUGUUAGCAAUGACAUAUAGUGCCAAAAAGCCUGAGUGAGGCCAAAACUGUUUUAUGUACUCCGCAGCAAACAUUUAGUCCCAGGGGGCUAGGGGAGUCCAUCAUUGAUUAUGAAUCAUCUCUCUGAUUAUAAAUGCAGAGAUCUUUUAGUAUCCCGCCACCAGCCACCAAGUUAUUGCGAACCUGAAAAUGGGUCUCUUGGUUCCAAAAGAAUCCACCAAGUUAAGCUGAAGUGUAGUGGCUAAGAGUGGACAUAUCUGUUCACCUUUCUUCCUUCCUUGCUUGUCAAAAUUAGGAUAUACUCUCUCCGUUCCAAAAUAUAAGGUGUAUUAGUUUUUUCAAAAGUCAAUCAUGUGCAUGUUGGACCAAGUUUUUAGAAAAAAGUAUCAAUAUCCACAGUACCAAAUUUGUAUCAUUAGAUCCAUCAGGAAUAGUAUUUUCAUAUUUUACUUAUUUUGUAUUGUACAUUUUGAUAUUUUAUGAAAACUGUUGCACCUUAUAUUCUGGAACAGAGGGAGUAUCACUUGUCUGCCAGUCAUCUUUGUUUCCCUGCUUGCCACAAGACCAUUCAUACAUAUGCGGUUGAAAUACACUUUUAUUUUACGUGGUAUCUAAGACAACCCAUCUGUCAGUAUUUAUGAUUUUCUAUGAUGAUGUUUAGUGAUGCCCAAUGAUCCUACAUUCACCAUUAGUUGCAAUUUUGUAAGUGUCAAAAAACAUCUUAUAUUUUGAUACAUAGGAAGUAUGUAUAUGAAGCAAAAAAGCAAGCCAUGUUGCCCUGUACAUAAUGAGUUUUGACUUUGGACUGGGAUCAAUUUUUUUUCAGCUCUGAUUUGUAGAAUGUGCACAAAAUUCAUCACGGGGAGGUACCAUUGUGCCGGAGUGCCAUUACAUUUUGGUGAGUGGUUGCCGAAGUCUUUAGCUUUAGUAACCAGCAAUUAUUGGCUGUACUGUAAUCUUAGUAAUGUUUCUUUUCGAGUAGCUGAGUUCAAACUGAUAUGUUAUGCAUUUUUUUAGCCCAACAGCUUCCUACAAUGGUCUAGCAGCAAUUAUCACGCAAGGUUUGUGACAAUGAUAACUCUGUAUUUAACGAUUUGGCUAUCUGAUCAAUGAGUUUUGAAAUACACUUUGUUAUGCUGUAGUAUCUUGGUGAAUAGUUAGAUGCCUAUGAGCAUCGAUAUUCGUUAUCCAUUAUCCACCUUGGCAUUGGUCAUAUCCUCGGACAGUAAUAUCUCUUUUUGUGGUGACUGAAGGUGAGCAUAUCUGAUUUUCAGCUUGCUUCCUGCCUUGUCAAAAUUAGGAUUGUGUGCCUGCUUGCUGCAAGACCAAUUCGUUGCAUGCGGUUGCAUUACAUUUUGUCCUAGUGGUUGGUGCCGGUGAUCACCCAUCUUUAUUAGCACUUAUUAUGUUUUAUUGAUGGUGAUGUGGAGUGCAGCCCAGUCAUUGCUCUGUUACCACUAGUGUUGCACAUCUAUAGCUAUUAACCAGCAUGAUCUU